Molecule: ribosomal RNA, 484 nt
Filed under: uncultured bacterium
Lineage: Bacteria
Description: partial 16S ribosomal RNA
Rfam family: Bacterial small subunit ribosomal RNA
Source: RNAcentral
AUUGAACGCUGGCGGCAGGCCUAACACAUGCAAGUCGAGCGGAUGAAGGGAGCUUGCUCCUGGAUUCAGCGGCGGACGGGUGAGUAAUGCCUAGGAAUCUGCCUGGUAGUGGGGGAUAACGUCCGGAAACGGGCGCUAAUACCGCAUACGUCCUGAGGGAGAAAGUGGGGGAUCUUCGGACCUCACGCUAUCAGAUGAGCCUAGGUCGGAUUAGCUAGUUGGUGGGGUAAAGGCCUACCAAGGCGACGAUCCGUAACUGGUCUGAGAGGAUGAUCAGUCACACUGGAACUGAGACACGGUCCAGACUCCUACGGGAGGCAGCAGUGGGGAAUAUUGGACAAUGGGCGGAAGCCUGAUCCAGCCAUGCCGCGUGUGUGAAGAAGGUCUUCGGAUUGUAAAGCACUUUAAGUUGGGAGGAAGGGCAGUAAGUUAAUACCUUGCUGUUUUGACGGUACCAAAAGAAUAAGCACCGGCUAACUUCGUG